RNAcentral lists this ribosomal RNA (268 nucleotides) under uncultured prokaryote. RNAcentral describes it as "partial 16S ribosomal RNA". It matches the Rfam family "Bacterial small subunit ribosomal RNA", at positions 524 to 792 of the family's 1533-position model. The record is from RNAcentral.
UACGUAGGUGGCGAGCGUUGUCCGGAAUUACUGGGUGUAAAGGGAGCGUAGGCGGGAGUGCAAGUUGAAUGUUAAAUCUAUCGGCUCAACCGAUAGCCGCGUUCAAAACUGCAUUUCUUGAGUGAAGUAGAGGUUGGCGGAAUUCCUAGUGUAGCGGUGAAAUGCGUAGAUAUUAGGAGGAACACCAGUGGCGAAGGCGAUUCUCUGGACUGUAACUGACGCUGAGGCUCGAAAGCGUGGGGAGCAAACAGGAUUAGAUACCCUGGUA